UGCGUAGGGUGCGAGCGUUAAUCGGAAUUACUGGGCGUAAAGCGUGCGCAGGCGGUUUUGUAAGCCAGAUGUGAAAUCCCCGGGCUUAACCUGGGAAUGGCAUUUGGGACUGCAAGGCUGGAGUUUGGCAGAGGAGACUGGAAUUCCUGGUGUAGCAGUGAAAUGCGUAGAUAUCAGGAGGAAUACCGAUGGCGAAGGCAGGUCUCUGGGCCGAUACUGACGCUGAGGAGCGAAAGCGUGGGGAGCGAACAGG
This 253-nucleotide ribosomal RNA is filed under the name uncultured bacterium. Its description in RNAcentral is "partial 16S ribosomal RNA". It matches the Rfam family "Bacterial small subunit ribosomal RNA", at positions 524 to 776 of the family's 1533-position model. The record is from RNAcentral.